GAUGAACGCUGGCGGCGUGCCUAAUACAUGCAAGUCGAGCGAACAGACGAGGAGCUUGCUCCUCUGACGUUAGCGGCGGACGGGUGAGUAACACGUGGAUAACCUACCUAUAAGACUGGGAUAACUUCGGGAAACCGGAGCUAAUACCGGAUAAUAUAUUGAACCGCAUGGUUCAAUAGUGAAAGACGGUUUUGCUGUCACUUAUAGAUGGAUCCGCGCCGCAUUAGCUAGUUGGUAAGGUAACGGCUUACCAAGGCAACGAUGCGUAGCCGACCUGAGAGGGUGAUCGGCCACACUGGAACUGAGACACGGUCCAGACUCCUACGGGAGGCAGCAGUAGGGAAUAUUCCGCAAUGGGCGAAAGCCUGACGGAGCAACGCCGCGUGAGUGAUGAAGGUCUUCGGAUCGUAAAACUCUGUUAUUAGGGAAGAACAAAUGUGUAAGUAACUAUGCACGUCUUGACGGUACCUAAUCAGAAAGCCACGGCUAACUACGUG
Molecule: ribosomal RNA, 497 nt
Filed under: uncultured bacterium
Lineage: Bacteria
Description: partial 16S ribosomal RNA
Rfam family: Bacterial small subunit ribosomal RNA
Source: RNAcentral